UUCAACCAAAAAUAACUUGAAAUGCAUUACCCAAUAUUAAAAAUUCAUCCAGAUUUUACUCAAACAUAACAUAAAUAUUCAAGUACAUAUCCAUUGUCCAAAAUACAAUAAAAAGCAAAACAGAACAAGAAAUUCGCUUGCUUCGUCUUCAUGGACUUGUACCUAAACCUGAAAAUAAAUAAAUAAUAUAUAUUAAUUUAAUAAAUUAUUACAAAAAAAAUAUAAAAUGAGAUCAUCAAC
This 240-nucleotide long non-coding RNA is filed under the name Elaeis guineensis (African oil palm). RNAcentral describes it as "long non-coding RNA (EGUI_LNC041805)". Lineage: Eukaryota; Viridiplantae; Streptophyta; Magnoliopsida; Arecales; Arecaceae. The record is from RNAcentral.